GGGCGGGUCUGGCUGAGGUUGUCGCCGGUCUAGACACCUGGCUCGUCCGCUCCUUGGGCGUCCUCCGCGUUAGUCAGCCCGCGUAGGCGCAAAUUGAAUGCUUGCGCCUACCCGGGGACAGGCGCAGCCCGCAGAGGGGCGUCUCUGUAAGAACCAAAAAGUUUUAUUUUCGCGGUUUUAUAAAUCGUACCGGAAGUGAGGAGAAGGGAUAAAAAACAUGUUCCCUUGUACACACUUUUUAAAAUGACUCAAAAGGACUGCGUUGUUACCCACAUUUACAGUUCCCGGCGAGGCUGCCCGGGCAUUUGAGAGGAACCUGCGAGGGGACUGAAGAAGCAGUCGGAGAGGAAGAGAUCAGGAGGCGUUUAUUAUUAGAGAAGCCAAGGAAAGACAGCGACUCAAGAAGGAGGGAGUGACCAACUGCUAAGGGAUCAAGUAAAGAGGACUGAAGAAUGUCACAUGUAUAUAUGAGAAGCCAUUGGUGACCUUCGCAAGAGCUGUUUAGGUAGAGAGAGGGAAGCCAGACCAAAGAGGUGAGGAACGAGUGAGAGCUAGUCUAUGACAAAGCUGAAGGAUUUUAAAGGGGUCUAAAAAAUCAUCAGAUUGAGGAAGGCCGUGGCUUGUCAACCUCCGGAGGAAUCAAAGCUCGCCCUUAUUGAGGUGCAAAGCUACUGCCUGAAGUCUUAACAUCCUUAAAAGUGUUUUUAAGUCUGAGGGUGAUGAUCCCUGGAGAUGAAUCUGAAGAAUACAGAACAGAAACAUGGAAUGAUGCUGGGCCUUUAAUGAUGUUAUUCAGCCACUGAAUUGGAAAACCCUAGACUAGUCACUCUACCUCUAAAUAUAUGAAACUGCAAAAGAAAAAAAUGGGAAAAGAGAGGAUGUGAAGACCAUUUCCCCUAUGUGAGAUACACCUCAGAAGCUAAGAAUAG
Molecule: non-coding RNA, 929 nt
Organism: Manis javanica (Malayan pangolin)
Lineage: Eukaryota; Metazoa; Chordata; Mammalia; Pholidota; Manidae
Source: RefSeq, a predicted model, not a curated record